Schistocerca cancellata (South American locust) is the source of this 1588-nucleotide RNA transcript. RefSeq lists it as uncharacterized. The record is from RefSeq and is a predicted model, not a curated record. The transcript has 2 exons. Lineage: Eukaryota; Metazoa; Arthropoda; Insecta; Orthoptera; Acrididae.
UCAGGUAGCUGAGGUAGCAGACUGCCGAGGGACUGGCUAAGCGUCUGCGUUCGAGAAAUGCCUUUUUUCCUAUUACAAAUGAAAAUAAUGUCAUCAGUAUGAUAUUAAAGCAUUAAGCGGUCAACUGGAUUAAUAUUUAGCUGCAAAGUCGCGAACUUCUGUCUCAUACAUUAUCAAUCGAACAUGCGGCAUCUCCUACACCAAGAAAAUUAGAGUAAAUCAUAAAAACGUGCAACUAAGAUACGUUGGAAAUGUGUGAACCACGAUUUCAAUCGAAUUACGUGUAUAACUAGUGAUGCACUGACUUCUUUUAGAUGUGUAGAGCAGAGUGGUAGAAUUCUUGUUCCUAACGCGAUGAUGUAGACUGCAAUGGGGAAAAUAGGGCUAUACAGGUAACAGAAACAAUUUGAUUGUAGCUCAUAUAUAGCAACAACAAAGUAUAUAUACAGUCUAUGCUGUUAAACAAAAGUAGGGCCUACUAAUGUAUAUAUUGAUGUUACACAUAUACCUCAUGUUAGAAACGAAUAGGCUUGCUGUUCCACAGCUGAGUGGACGACAGUUGUAACAAAAUGAAAUACACCCAAUUUCACAUAAAAUUGUAUUUGGGUGGGUGGUGGUAGGGGGAAAGGAUGUACUAAUUCCCUAGUCUGCAGGCACUGUCACUCUGUAGAGGCAUUUACAAACGGCACAGAGGAUAUUUAAUUCCAAAACCUUGCUGUCCAAUCGUAUGUACCACUGUAUAAAUAAUUUGAGGAUUCUUAUUUUGCAAAUGUUACAGCUCUCAUGUUGUUGACACCAUGCAGCUUAUUGGAAGGGUACUGCGGCUUCCCUUCACACACAUUCUGGAGACAACAGUAUGAAGAUCUUAUGCAAGUGGGCUGCCAGUUGUCAAUUGGAAUAUGGCUACUGCUUCUCUUCUUGGUCCAUCAGGUGCUGCUGAGUUAUCCUUGAUGUUUUUUCAGAUCUUUCCCUCAUAUGGAAUUUUGUUGGAUCUUUUCAAUUAUUCUUAAAAUACCUUGUUAAUAAUGCAUUUCACCGUAAAACAUAACACAUUAGGAUUAUUUUUUUCAAUGUGUUUAAUUUCUGUGCAGAUUUUUCAUUAGCAUCGAAGACACAGUGAGAUGGUAUCCAAUGAUUUGGAGUUUUCUAGUUGUUCUGUUGUAGUGGUGUAAUUACUUCCUGGACAACUUGAAUGAUAUUUAGGUCUUGUGUGUUGAUAAAUGCUGAUAGUGCUGCUAUAGAAUCACAAAAUAUGACUACUUUAUUGAAUGUGUGUAAGCAGUUGUUUUGCUGACUUAUUGCUAUUCUGACAGCUUCAGCUGCACUUAUGAAAUUGGAGUUGUAUGGAUCUUAAGUUUGAUAGAAAGAGAAAAUGUUGAUUGGCAAGGUGGGACUUAUACAUAACAGAUGUUCUGGUGCUACUGUAUGUAAUUACUUCAUGAUGUUGUACAUUGUAAUAUACUUUAAAUGUUAAUACAAUUUAUCAGAGUUAUCUAGAGCCCAAUGUGCAUAGAUCACUAAUUGCUUACCACAAAUGCCCCUAACUACACUCUCUGACAUAAAGUUAAUCUCCUAGAAAGAGAGCUAA